Molecule: non-coding RNA, 1982 nt
Organism: Paralichthys olivaceus (Japanese flounder)
Lineage: Eukaryota; Metazoa; Chordata; Actinopteri; Pleuronectiformes; Paralichthyidae
Source: RefSeq, a predicted model, not a curated record
CAGACAAGGCUCACCUGCUUCCACUCAAACCAUCAACCUCCCCAUAAAAGCCUGGUCUUCACUCCGCUGCUCUGCCAGAUCACUCCGUCUAGUUCGGUAGUUGCGCUGCGUGUUUCUUGUGAAUCUUCGAUGCUCUUGUUUUUUUGAUUGUUCCUCACGUUUUUUUUUUAACCCAGAUAUCCUGUGUGCCUUGCUGCACGCCUGCGUCGAGUCUUCAGUGCAGUGAUCUCUUUCCAUGUGCUCAGCACUCCUGCUGCCCUUGGGUUUCCACCAGCCAGCCUGCUCUCUGCCUCCACUGCUCUUUGUUGCUUCUUUUUUGAGCAAUAAGCUCUUUUAUUUAUCAUCACCUGUAUUUUAUUCUCUGCUUUGGGGUCCAAAGUAAAUCAAGACCUAACACCAUGCACCUCCAGCACUAAUAAAUGGUAAAAUGUAAUGGCCGUGGAUACAGUCGUGGGACUGGAGGACCUGACUGAUAGCGAAAAUUUUGCAGAGGUCACUGAAAAAAAUGGCGCCUGUGUGUGUGACCAGCCGCAACAAAAGACACCUACAUCUUGUUUUACAAAGCAGAGAUACAACUUUUCAAAAUAAAACCAAUUCAGCUUGACGAUAAGUCAACACCUUUACCUGGAUCAAGUCAGAUGGUGCAAAGGCUCCCACAGCCUAGCCUCAGAUCUCACUGAGAGGCUGAACCCAGGCCAGCAGAUGCAUCACUCACCCAACACCAAGGUCCAUCUGGAAGGCCUGUGAUCGCGGCUCACCACUGAAGCUCUGGCUGAGGACAAAGCUUGUUAGCCACACGUGCCAUGGGUAUUCAGCAACAUGUACAGUAUGUCGUAAAAUAAAAAAAAGAUGAAAACAUUAAAAGUACAAGAACAGAUUGAGAACAGGUCACAUGAGCAGACGAAGAUAUACUGGAGCACAUUUUAAAUCUACACUACAACCUUAUUCACACACACACACACACACACACACGCAAUGUGUCAUGGGGCUCCUCUCGGCCUCCAACGACGGUUUAUUAGACACACCACAGAUGGACUAUUUGUAUUCUAUCCAACUGAAAUCACUGUCAGUGUCAGUCAAAGCUAAAAGCAAAAGGAAUCGGUUUGUAGCAGAUUAUGGAUACACAGUACUUACAUGGAAUGUCUAAUGUUCUGGUAGUACUAAUAGCCUCACUUGAUUUAUUUUAGCAUUACAAAGUAAUCAUUAACAUUUCACAGCGUGCUGACAGUGGAGGCAGCCAAAUACAGAGAGUGACAUUGGCUAAUACCAUGGCAUAGGGACAAAAACACAGUGACACUUUAGGGGAAAAGAUCUGUUGGUAACUAGAGAAAUUGUCUCCAGCUACACUGUUGUGUUGUAGUUUAUUGUGCGGGAUUUAAGAGGGUGUGAAUACACGGAUAAGCCUCGCUGAAGCCACAGCACCAUCAGGAACACUGGUUUUACAUCCUGUAUGCAGCGAUUUGAUCCUUCAAGAGUGUUAGUGAUGUCGGGGGCUAAGGUCACAGUUAGUGUCCAGGCUGUCUGCGGGCCAAUCAGAUUCUUCCACAGUGAGUGGAUAAACUUCUUUGAGGAGACGUCUUUGUGCUUGGGGGUAGUGAUACGCUGAAACUGUAAACAGACUAACACUAACUAAUUAUAAACAGACUGCUGGUUGAAAACAUUAUUGUGGGCUGUAGCACUGAACAUUAGAUUAAUUGAAGCUAGGAGGCGUAGACUUUUGUUCAUUGACCGUCACUGAAAAAUUAAGCACAAGAUUGACAGUAGUGUAAAUCAUGUUUUGUAUCUUGAUAGGUGAAGUUUUUGGGGCAGCAUGUCAGAAAUGUUUGAAGAUCUGUAUGUGGCAUUACCUCUGAACGACACAGCCAGCUGACCAAACACACAAUUGGUAAAAAGCUAUUUUGUAAAUAUGUCUGUGUUAAUAUAUUAAUGUCGUAAUAGUCAUGUAUUAAUUGCAGUUCUGCAUAAAACAUUUGUAGAGCUGA